UUGGUUUGACGUUGAAACUUCAGAAUCAUCUUGUAACGUAGAUUCAAAAAUUCUAACAAGACUCGAGCUAUUAUCUGCAGGACGGUCAUUUAUCCUUUUUCGAAGAUUGGUGUACUCAAUUCGAGAUCUAUUAUACUGAUCCCUUUGUCUUUGAUUAUGUUGUCGACGAAUAAAAGCUUGAUAUGACUUGUUGCUAGUCAGAGAUGUAGGUUGAAGGUUAACUAAAUCAUAAUCUCUAUCAUCAGAUGGUUUGAAAAUAUCCAUUACAACACAAAUAAAUUUAGAGGAAUAGCUGGACCCCAACUUUAAUGGUAGAAACUAAAAAUACUGGAAAAAAAUAAUACAAUAUAUAGUAAAGCAUACAUACAGUAGAACUAAAGUUUAGAACAUAAGUUGUGUGAACAAUAGUUGAAGAUAUACUUUAGAAGGAAGGAAAAAGGUGUCUUCUAGAACGCACAAAAGAAGCUCAAGAACUAACAACCUAUUACAAAAUUUAUAAGUUACUAUAGAUAAAUAACCAAAAUAAAUUUACAACAUAAACCCUUGAACAAAAACCUAUAAAUAGGUUAAUCAAGAGAACUUACCUAAGAGAGAGUACACUGUUGUAAUCAACAAUUACAAUGAUUAAGAAAUACAGUUGAAUACUAUGUGACAUAAUUGUUGACCCAAAAAAAUGUUGCCAACAGAUGCCAGACCCACCUGCGCACACGUGAGCAAAAGUCCAACACACUAAGA
RNAcentral lists this long non-coding RNA (735 nucleotides) under Olea europaea (common olive). Its description in RNAcentral is "long non-coding RNA (OEUR_LNC013459)". Lineage: Eukaryota; Viridiplantae; Streptophyta; Magnoliopsida; Lamiales; Oleaceae. The record is from RNAcentral.